This is a long non-coding RNA of Lathyrus oleraceus (garden pea), 959 nucleotides long. RefSeq lists it as uncharacterized. The record is from RefSeq and is a predicted model, not a curated record. The transcript is spliced from 2 exons. NCBI's taxonomy places the organism in Eukaryota, Viridiplantae, Streptophyta, Magnoliopsida, Fabales, Fabaceae.
AAUGGAUAAGAAGCAAAGAAAAGAAAAGUGGGGAAAGAAGAAAAACGUGGAAGAGAAAAUAAGAGAAAAGGAGAGAAAAGAAGAAGAGAAAGAGGAAGAGGAAAGCUCGGAGAAAGAAGAAGAAACUCAUGAAAGAUCAUCAUCAUCUCCAAUAUUUCAUCUUCAUCUCAUCAAGGUAUUAUUUUGCAGGUUAAAGGUAAGAGGAGUUGCUUGUGGGUGUUCUAAAGUUUUAUUUAAUUGUGAUCUUUCGUUGUGGAUUGUAUGAAAUGAAGAUAUUGCACACAACUCUUAGCUUUUAUUUAGGCAAUAUUCUAUAACAUGUGCCAUAUAUGUUUCUUUUUAGUUUGGACAUGUGUAUAUAAUGAUUCCGUUAAACACUUGUGUUGUAUCAAUACCAAAAAUUAACACGUGUAUGAUAUUAUUCUAGAUAUAUAUUAUACGGUUUGUUAAACAAAGUGGCACUAUAACUCACUAAGCCUGGUUUGGAAGAAUCUCAGGAACAAAUCCAAAAGAUUAGGAUCACUUUAUCUUCAAAACAUAUUCGAUAGGAAAAAGGUGUGAGAUAAAUACACAUGCUAGACAUAAGUGACUGAAGCAUAGUUCGAGACUAAGAUUACAAGAUUUGACUAAAAAUUCUCAACGGAGGAAGUUGAAGGACUUGGGAGUGUUUCUCGACAGAAGUGGCAGUUUUGUAGCAGUUCAAAAACUGAAGGUGCACGGAAGCAAUGCAUAGGACGGAAGGCCACGUAGCAUUGCAUGAGUCGAGCGUUGAAGAUUCGACCAUUGUCGACAGUUACUAAUAUAUAUGUAUAUAAGUCGAUUUAGUCUUUGUAACAAGGAUUCACAAUUUUCAUCAUUAGUCUCUAUAGAGUUCAAACAUCAAAGUUACAGAGAUACUAAAUUUAUGAGAAAAAUGUAUGAAUCUACGUUCCAACUCUUAACUUAAGCAUUUUACUCGA